RNAcentral lists this long non-coding RNA (1140 nucleotides) under Fragaria vesca (wild strawberry). RNAcentral describes it as "long non-coding RNA (FVES_LNC000433)". The record is from RNAcentral. Lineage: Eukaryota; Viridiplantae; Streptophyta; Magnoliopsida; Rosales; Rosaceae.
UUGGAAGUAAUGUAAGAAUACUCCACAUUAUUCUCAUUUGUGGUUUCUAUGUGGUACCCAUUCAAGCGUAUAUCCUUAAAACUCAACAAAUUCUUUCUAGAUCUGGAAGAGUACUAUGUCUCUUGAAUGAAUAAUUGGGUACCAUUUGAUAACCAAAUAUGAGCUCUUCUAGAGUCUUCAAUUAGGCCUAUAGGACCUGAAAUGAUUGUCACUUUUGCUCUUGUCAAAUUUAAAGUGGAGAAAUAUUUUCGAUCUCUAAGGAUCGUGUGUUGUCGCACUAUUUGCAAAGCAUAUUUCUUCUCCAUUUUGAGAGCAUCCAUUUUUCAUAUUUAUACUGACACGACCCACCCCGAAUUUCACCCUGAAACCCGGAGUAAGUCGUGCGGGGACCACCUCCAAGGAAAAUUUACUGAAAAGAUUGAGAAAAUCUCCCUUGCAGAUGGACAACCCUAACUCGAAAAUUCCAAAUUUCACUCUUAAUUCAACACUUCCAAACAUCACAUAAUUAUCCUUCAGAAAUUCUACACAUAAUAUACAAUAAUCCCAAAGUAUUCAGAGCUACUAAACACAAGCGGAAGCAAGAAAACACGAGUAGGUUGAACAGGUAACCUACUGAUGAAAACUGGCAGAAAUGCGGGUGACUAUGCCUCGCCUCCUACUAGAUCCAACCCGAACUCUGCAGACUGGGCAAUUUAAAACGAAAGGCCCAGGGGAAAACAUUUAAUAACGUUAGAGUGAGUGGACAAAAAUAAAAUAAAGGAGAUAAUUCUUUAUGCUUUCCCCAAUUUUUACUUUUCCAUAGAAAAGAAAAUAUGCUGCAUGCGACAGCUCAAAACGCUCAACACGAAAACUGGAAUUUCAUGACUGGCACCGGCCAGUCUCCAACGCUCAAUAAAAUACAGCUUCUCAGGCUAAAAUAAAAUAUGUAUGUAUUACACUCGUCAUAUCCCUUGUAUGAAUUUUCUUGAAACAACUAAAACAAAUAGUAAAUUCACACAAGGCUACAACGCUUGCGUCUAACGCUCACGUUGCACCAUAAUGGCAUUUUACCUCAUUAUGGUGGAAAAGACGGUGUAUAAAUAUACGCGCAUAUCCCCUAUAUAAAUUAUUAUUUUUAUACAGGGCUACAACGAUUGNNNN